Molecule: transfer RNA, 78 nt
Filed under: Thermoprotei archaeon
Lineage: Archaea; Thermoproteati; Thermoproteota; Thermoprotei
Description: tRNA-Cys
Rfam family: tRNA
About the family: Transfer RNA (tRNA) molecules are approximately 80 nucleotides in length. Their secondary structure includes four short double-helical elements and three loops (D, anti-codon, and T loops).
Source: RNAcentral
GCCGGGGUGGCCGAGUGGUCUAAGGCGCCCGGCUGCAGACCGGGUUAUUCGCGGGUUCGAAUCCCGCCCCCGGCUCCA